UCCAUGUGAAGUGAGACAUCAUGACUUUUUUCGCUAUAUUUUACGUUCUUGCCUUACUUCUGCUGCUCACACCAUAUACACAUGAAAGCGCAAAAGUGGAAAGUGGGGACGUUGCAUUAUAAAACAAUCGCCAUGUCCUGGCAUUACCCAUUUAAAUCGCGUUUGCAAUUCGGCAGCCAUUUGCUGUGUGCCUGAAUCUCAAAAAGUCUGGGACAAUAUAAGCUAUUUUAAGCGCUUAGAACCGAAAGAAAACAAUAUAGAAACAGUAAUAAUAAAGUAAGUCUGUUUCUUAUUACUUAGCCACUUAAGAAUUUUAUACCGUUAUAAACUG
Molecule: non-coding RNA, 331 nt
Organism: Drosophila melanogaster (fruit fly)
Lineage: Eukaryota; Metazoa; Arthropoda; Insecta; Diptera; Drosophilidae
Source: Ensembl